This 430-nucleotide ribosomal RNA is filed under the name uncultured bacterium. Its description in RNAcentral is "bacterial SSU rRNA". It matches the Rfam family "Bacterial small subunit ribosomal RNA", at positions 355 to 776 of the family's 1533-position model. The record is from RNAcentral.
UAGGGAAUAUUGCGCAAUGGAGGAAACUCUGACGCAGCGACGCCGCGUGGGUGACGAAGGCCUUCGGGUCGUAAAGCCCUGUCGGAUGGGACGAAAAAUAUUGUGGCUAAUAUCCACGAUACUUGACGGUACCAUUAGAGGAAGCACCGGCUAACUACGUGCCAGCAGCCGCGGUAAUACGUAGGGUGCAAGCGUUGUUCGGAAUCAUUGGGCGUAAAGCGCGUGUAGGUGGCUAGUUAAGUCGGGUGUGAAAGCCCUGGGCUCAACCGAGGAAGUGCAUUCGAAACUAGCUGGCUAGAAGAUGGUAGAGGAAGGUGGAAUUCCAAGUGUAGAGGUGAAAUUCGUAGAUAUUUGGAGGAAUACCGGCGGCGAAGGCGGCCUUCUGGGCCAUUCUUGACACUGAGACGCGAAAGCGUGGGGAGCAAACAGG